UUUAAUGCCUAAUACUCCUCAAACAACGCCUCAAAUCAAGGAAAUAUAAUGCAAAAUUAUUUUCUUUUAUACGAAAUAGUUUGCCUUUCAAACCAUUCAGUUUUUAAUGGUACAAUGAAAUGUAGUUUUUUUUUUAAUUCUCAGAGUAGCCCUUGUCAAAAUAGAACUCGCAAUUAACAUGUUGUAGGGCCAAAAUAUUUCUGGAGAAAUUCAGUAACCCUGUGAGCUCAAACCAGCCAACACAACGGCGAGCUCAUCCACGACGAAACGAGCUCAUAGAUCAAGAUAUUGUGUUUCAAUAACGAUUGCGAGUGGCUGGACAGAGGUCCACUGCGAAGUUCUUCACCAUCAAGUCUCGAAUAUAUAGACAAAUUUAGAAUGAUUUGUACAGAAUUCAUAGACAAAUUCCGAAUCAGAUCUCAAAUUCUCACCAUCAGAUCUCGAAUCCACGACAUUUUGCACCAUCACAUCUCAAAUCUACGGCGGUGUACAAAACCGUUCAAGCCAUGAGAAAUUCUGGAGUUCGGAGAUUCAUAAAUAGAGGUUGAAGAUGAUGAUGUUAAUGAAGAUACAUAAGAAUGAUGUAUUUGUUAAGAGAGUUCGGAGAUACAUAGGAAUGAUGUAUCAGGUAGAAAAGGACAAAAAGAUACAUCACGCGAUCCUUCACCAAAUGUACGAAAGAUAUGCAUCUUAUUGAAUAUUAGGUUAUAAAUGCAUAAGAAAGAUGGUUUGAUUGAAAAAAAACAAAAAUCAUGUAUCAGAAUGCUUUUAUUGCUACUAUACAUAACACUCAUGUAUCUGAAUGUAUCUCUAUGAUAUUAAUGCUUAAGAGUUAUGUAUCGAUAAUUAUGUAUCAAAUGGUGAUGUAUGAACGAGUCUUAGCUAUGAGUGGCG
Molecule: long non-coding RNA, 894 nt
Filed under: Capsicum annuum
Lineage: Eukaryota; Viridiplantae; Streptophyta; Magnoliopsida; Solanales; Solanaceae
Description: long non-coding RNA (CANN_LNC009744)
Source: RNAcentral